This 493-nucleotide ribosomal RNA is filed under the name uncultured bacterium. RNAcentral describes it as "partial 16S ribosomal RNA". It matches the Rfam family "Bacterial small subunit ribosomal RNA", at positions 29 to 523 of the family's 1533-position model. The record is from RNAcentral.
AUUGAACGCUGGCGGCAUGCCUUACACAUGCAAGUCGAACGGUAACAGGUUAAGGUGACGAGUGGCGAACAGGUGAGUAAUACAUCGGAACGUGCCCAGACGUGGGGGAUAGCUCGGCGAAAGCCGGAUUAAUACCGCAUAAGCUCUGAGGAGGAAAGCGGGGGACCGUAAGGCCUCGCGCGUUUGGAGCGGCCGAUGGCAGAUUAGGUAGUUGGUGGGGUAAAGGCUUACCAAGCCUACGAUCUGUAGCUGGUCUGAGAGGACGACCAGCCACACUGGGACUGAGACACGGCCCAGACUCCGACGGGAGGCAGCAGUGGGGAAUUUUGGACAAUGGGCGAAAGCCUGAUCCAGCGAUGCCGCGUGCAGGAUGAAGGCCCUCGGGUUGUAAACUGCUUUUGUACGGAACGAAAAGGCGCCUACUAAUACUGGGUGUUGAUGACGGUACCGUAAGAAUAAGCACCGGCUAACUACGUGCCAGCCGCCGCCGUAA